AAACCACAAGGGGAGCCGAAGCUCCCCCAGAAGUAGUUGCAUGCUCUAUUUUUAUUUUUGGUUUCGGGCUUCUUGUUUUUGUUGAGUGCCCUCGUCAUGAAGCUUUCCUUCAUGACCCUCCCAAUCGGGAGCCAAGAGCAAACGGAUUGCUUUGGUCGCUGUGUUGCAGUGAUCUUGCGAUCCAACCAGUACAGGCUCUGUCUUAGGACAGUU
Molecule: unclassified non-coding RNA, 213 nt
Filed under: Pseudomonas vancouverensis
Lineage: Bacteria; Pseudomonadati; Pseudomonadota; Gammaproteobacteria; Pseudomonadales; Pseudomonadaceae
Description: Pseudomonas sRNA P29
Source: RNAcentral